Molecule: ribosomal RNA, 506 nt
Filed under: uncultured bacterium
Lineage: Bacteria
Description: partial 16S ribosomal RNA
Rfam family: Bacterial small subunit ribosomal RNA
Source: RNAcentral
GGACGAACGCUGGCGGCGUGCCUACUACAUGCAAGUAGAACGCACAGUUUAUACCGUAGCUUGCUACACCAUAAACUGUGAGUUUCGAACGGGUGAGUAACGCGUAGGUAACCUGCCUGGUAGCGGGGGAUAACUAUUGGAAACGAUAGCUAAUACCGCAUAAUAUUUAUUAUUGCAUGAUAAUUGAUUGAAAGAUGCUAUUGCAUCACUACCAGAUGGACCUGCGUUGUAUUAGCUAGUAGGUGAGGUAACGGCUCACCUAGGCGACGAUACAUAGACGAGCUGGGAGGGUGAUCGGCCCACCUGGGACUGGGACACCGCCCAGACUCCUACGGGAGGCAGCAGUAGGGGAUCUUCGGCAAUGGACGAAAGUCUGAACGAACAAAGCCGGGUGAGUGGAGAAGGUUUUCGGGUCGUAAAGCUCUGUUGUAAGAGAAGGAAGAGUAUGAGAGUGAAAAGUUCACGCUGUGACGGUAUCUUACCAGAAAGGGACGGCUAACUACGUG